CGCUUUCACUCCUACGGGAGGCAGCAGUGGGGAAUUUUGGACAAUGGGCGAAAGCCUGAUCCAGCAAUGCCGCGUGUGUGAAGAAGGCCUUCGGGUUGUAAAGCACUUUUGUCCGGAAAGAAAUGGCUCUGGUUAAUACCUGGGGUCGAUGACGGUACCGGAAGAAUAAGGACCGGCUAACUACGUGCCAGCAGCCGCGGUAAUACGUAGGGUCCAAGCGUUAAUCGGAAUUACUGGGCGUAAAGCGUGCGCAGGCGGUUGUGCAAGACCGAUGUGAAAUCCCCGAGCUUAACUUGGGAAUUGCAUUGGUGACUGCACGGCUAGAGUGUGUCAGAGGGGGUAGAAUUCCACGUGUAGCAGUGAAAUGCGUAGAGAUGUGGAGGAAUACCGAUGGCGAAGGCAGCCCCCUGGGAUAACACUGACGCUCAUGCACGAAAGCGUGGGGAGCAAACAGGAUUAGAUACCCUGGUAG
RNAcentral lists this ribosomal RNA (472 nucleotides) under uncultured bacterium. RNAcentral's name for it is "bacterial SSU rRNA". It matches the Rfam family "Bacterial small subunit ribosomal RNA", at positions 328 to 793 of the family's 1533-position model. The record is from RNAcentral.